UCAGCAGCCGCGGUAAGACGGAGGGGGCGAGCGUUGUCCGGAAUUACUGGGCGUAAAGCGCACGUAGGCGGUUACCUACGGCGGUGGUGAAAGCUCCCGGCUCAACUGGGAGAGGUCCGCCGCAACGGGGUGACUCGAGGGUGGUAGAGGCAGAUGGAAUUCCUGGUGUAGCGGUGAAAUGCGUAGAGAUCAGGAGGAACACCCGUGGCGAAGGCGAUCUGCUGGGCCAUGCCUGACGCUGAGGUGCGAAAGCCAGGGGAGCGAACGGGAUUAGAUACCCCGGUAGUCCUGGCUGUAAACGAUGGAUACUAGGUGUCAGCGGUCUCGACCCCGCUGGUGCCGUAGCUAACGCGUGAAGUAUCCCGCCUGGGGAGUACGGCCGCAAGGUUGAAACUCAAAGGAAUUGACGGGGGCCCGCACA
RNAcentral lists this ribosomal RNA (421 nucleotides) under uncultured bacterium. RNAcentral describes it as "bacterial SSU rRNA". It matches the Rfam family "Bacterial small subunit ribosomal RNA", at positions 508 to 927 of the family's 1533-position model. The record is from RNAcentral.